ACUAGGCCUAAUAAAACACGAC
RNAcentral lists this small nuclear RNA (22 nucleotides) under Arabidopsis thaliana (thale cress). RNAcentral's name for it is "snRNA_11589". Lineage: Eukaryota; Viridiplantae; Streptophyta; Magnoliopsida; Brassicales; Brassicaceae. The record is from RNAcentral.